Molecule: long non-coding RNA, 2038 nt
Organism: Panicum hallii
Lineage: Eukaryota; Viridiplantae; Streptophyta; Magnoliopsida; Poales; Poaceae
Exons: 5
Source: RefSeq, a predicted model, not a curated record
GGCUUCCAACCUGGUGGUCGCUUCCAUGUGGGGCCACCAAAACGCCGUCACCACCCGCCCCGACGCCCCACCCUCCCCCAAAUCGGCUGCAAUUCCCGUUCAAAAUCCGGCGUCCCACCCGUUCCUCAACCCCGACGCCCCCUUUCGCCGCCGAUCCCCCGUCGCGCCGCUCGCCGUUCCCGCAUUCCACCGCCGAAUCCCAUCUCCCACACCCAGACGCCCCUUCCGCCGCCGGUUCCUGUUGCGCCGCUCGCCAUCCAUCGCCGCCAGGGCCUGGUUGUCACGUGGUUCCCCGCGGGCGCCGCGGGGUACCUAGGUGCCGUGCGCCCCCCCUGGCGCCGCCGCCGGUGGCUGGUUGUCGCGCGGCCCCCCACGCGCCGCCGCCCGGAGCUGGUUGUCGCACGGUCGCCCGCGGCCUCCGGGGGUGAGGUGGCCACCGCUGCCGGGAAGGCUUUCGACCUCGACGGGCACCAUUCACCGCCCCCGCGCGCCCUCCCCCGCUUGUUCGGUGGCACUGCUAGCCGACCGCCGCCGGGGACUGGCUUGCACGCACCUCCUGGGGAAGGCUGCCCGAGCUUUUUGCCGUUUGCUUGCAGUUCGUCGUUGGAGACGCGUAGCAAGCAAGGAAUCGAGUCCCCUAGUGACUUCCUAGCGACACCGGCUGAAAUUUGGCUGACUCUCGAUCCAGCUUAGAUGAGGACUGAAGGUGUGCUUCCAAAUAAGAUAAUCAAAAUCAGAUUUGUUGGGCAGUCUACACAAGAUCAACUUGAAAUUCAUUUGGAAGAUUCUGUAUCGGUGCUCGUGCCACUAUGCGCACCACGAACCACGAUAGGUGAUACGGCAGCAGGUUCAGAUGUUCUGCGUUCAUCUCCUCGUCUUCAAGCUAUGCGCAAUGCCGCAGUUUCCAAUCGCAAUGGCCCUUUGGUGAAGAAACUUGCUACGAAGAAGAGGAAGAUACCUUGGGGGGAGGGAUUUGAGGCUCCCUGUUGAUGAUGACAGUGAUGAUUUUAUGGAGAUUCCAUCACAAAGAAGGCACCGUUCAGUUGCAGGUGAUGGCCCCAGUCAUUAUAGACAGCAACAUGCUGCUGCAGAUUAUGUUCAGGACCAGCCCAAUGAAGUUGUUGCAGCUCAAGUGGUUAAAGGUUGUCCAACGAUUCGCUGUUCACCCAAAAAAUGUAGAGAAUUUGUUGACACUCUUAGUAGUGAACUGAAGCACAUGAUUGAUCUUAUGGGUUUGGUGGUUUGCUUUCUUUUAAGCCAAAAUCUUUUGACAGGGAUCUACUCAUGUGGUUAAUGGAGAAGCUUAACCAGAGAUAAUGAGAUUGGAAAUUGCUGGUGGCAAGGAAAUAGAAGUAAACGAGCAUGCUGUGGAGUGUGUCCUUGGUUUGCCAAGCAAGGGAGGUGAUCCUCCUAUAGUGAAGGACAAGGAAGGACACAUUGCUCGCGAGCUAGUGGCAAGAGCCGUAUUUGGUAUUGAUAGCGUAAAGGUUGCAGCUAAAGAUUGAAAAAACAUGGUUACUUCCAGGGAGUGUGAUGAUAAUUUUGCCAUCAGGGCCUUCUUCAUUGUUGCUUUUAAUCUGCUGUUAUUUAUAAAUACUGACUCAUAUAUCAGAGUUGUGGAUGCCAAGUGGACCGAGAAUUUGGAUGUCAUUGAUGAGAUAAACUGGUGUAAGGCUUUAAUCGACAACUUGAGGUUUUCUGCACGUCUGUGGAGGAAUGAAAGGGACAAGAAAGAGCAUGCCAACAUUAAAAAGAUUGCUAUCAAUGGUUGUGGCAUAUUCUUGAAUAAUAUUGUCAGCAACUAUCCGGUACGUCCGCUGGGACGGAUGAACUGAAUCGAAGAACACAUACUUCUCCGCGUCUUGACACGUCAACGGUUCAUCCACACCGCAAAGGACUGAUGUCUCGAUGAGUCCUGUGCCACAGCAUCCUUGCACCACGUUCUCGAAUCCUGGUCAUCACAGACAAAACCGGUCAGUAUGAAAUUCUGGCAGACUCUCUGCUCCAGUCAUCGAUCCUAUGUGGAGACAGAUGCUUG